Molecule: ribosomal RNA, 301 nt
Filed under: uncultured bacterium
Lineage: Bacteria
Description: partial 16S ribosomal RNA
Rfam family: Bacterial small subunit ribosomal RNA
Source: RNAcentral
CAGUCGCCACGGUAAUCCGAAGGGGGCUAGCGUUGCUCGGAAUGACUGGGCGUAAAGGGCGCGUAGGCGGAUGGCACAGUCAGAUGUGAAAUUCCCGGGCUUAACCUGGGGGCUGCAUUUGAUACGUGUUGUCUAGAGUGAGGAAGAGGGUCGUGGAAUUCCCAGUGUAGAGGUGAAAUUCGUAGAUAUUGGGAAGAACACCGGUGGCGAAGGCGGCGACCUGGUCCUUUACUGACGCUGAGGCGCGAAAGCGUGGGGAGCAAACAGGAUUAGAUACCCCAGUAGUCCAUGUCUCUUAUAC